This 573-nucleotide ribosomal RNA is filed under the name uncultured cyanobacterium. RNAcentral's name for it is "bacterial SSU rRNA". It matches the Rfam family "Bacterial small subunit ribosomal RNA", at positions 34 to 649 of the family's 1533-position model. The record is from RNAcentral. Lineage: Bacteria; Bacillati; Cyanobacteriota.
CGCUGGCGGUAUGCUUAACACAUGCAAGUCGAACGGAAGUCUUCGGACUUUAGUGGCGGACGGGUGAGUAACGCGUGAGAAUCUGGCUUUAGGUCGGGGACAACAGUUGGAAACGACUGCUAAUACCGGAUAUGCCGAGAGGUGAAAGAUUAAUUGCCUGAAGAAGAGCUCGCGUCUGAUUAGCUAGUUGGUGGGGUAAGAGCUUACCAAGGCGACGAUCAGUAGCUGGUCUGAGAGGACGAUCAGCCACACUGGGACUGAGACACGGCCCAGACUCCUACGGGAGGCAGCAGAGGGGAAUUUUCCGCAAUGGGCGAAAGCCUGACGGAGCAAUACCGCGUGAGGGAGGAAGGCUCUUGGGUUGUAAACCUCUUUUCUUAGGGAAGAAAAAAAUGACGGUACCUAAGGAAUCAGCAUCGGCUAACUCCGUGCCAGCAGCCGCGGUAAUACGGAGGAUGCAAGCGUUAUCCGGAAUGAUUGGGCGUAAAGCGUCCGCAGGUGGCAUUUCAAGUCUGCGGUCAAAGGUCGAGGCUCAACCUCGAACAGGCCGUGGAAACUGAAAAGCUAUAGUGU